CUCCUCCAGGCCCUUUCCCUUCGGCCUCCGGCCAGGGUCCACCCGAGGGUCCCUCCUGUACCCAUUCUGUUCUCAGCUCUUCUCCCACAUCCAGCUGCAUCUGCAGUGUCCAGGACUGAGAACCUGAUGUCCCAGGCCUCUGUGCAUCCUAGGGACCCCAGAACUGGAUCUUCCACGGUAUCCAGCAGUGUCUGAGGUGCCAGAGAGUCUGAGUCCAACUCUAGCAGGUUCAGCGGAACCUCAGACUGCUCCUUGCCCACCCCCAGAGUAGGGUCCUUCGACUUCCCAUAGUCUGGUGCCUGCUCAGCAAUACCAUGAGGUGUGCACAGUAAAAUUCCUCUAAUCCACCUCACCCAGUGGCCUGAGUCCUGGGCUUGACUCCGAAACCCAUUUCUUAUCCCACAGUGACUAUUGACCUAUCAUGGUACAUGCUUUUAAUGCCAGCAUUUGGGAGGCAGGCACAGGAAAAUCUCUGAGUUUGAGGCCAGCCUGGUGAUUUUCAGGACAUCUACAGCUACACGGGUAAUUCUUGUCUCAAAAACAUUUGCCAAGCCUCACAAGAAAUUUUUGUUUAUGUUUACGGUAUCUGUUCAAAUUCAUCUUCUUAAAAAUUGAAACUAUAGUGUUUUAUACAAGUUAUAUAUUGCAAGUUAUGAUGUGCACUCACUGAUAAUUAGAGUUAUCCUGGCUUGAGUCCAUAGGUGACACCAUCUCUCUUCUGGUCUCAUUGGUGUCAGCGGGCUGAUUCCAGAAAGAUUGACACAAAACCAGCACCUUACCAAUGCCUGUGGGACUUCUGCCUGAAAACCACAGACCAAGGCAGAAGAAAUAGAGGGGUGGCGAAGAAAGGGAAUCUGCUUUCACCAUCUGAGUUCUGAUAAGCGGCUUGUUAACCGGUAACAACACCUUGUAACUUAGUGCAUUUUAUCUCCAAUAUUCUGGGGACAUCAGAAUGACAACAGUGCUUUCCACGCUGUGUCAUCUCACCAUCUCUUAACACUCCAUACCACUGCAAAUCAGCAAGAGAGCUCAAGUACACCAAUGCAAAGUCCAUUUGGGUCAACUGCUCCUGCCAUGAUUCCAACACUUUGGGAGGAAAAAGUCAGAAGAUUCAGGCUGGCCU
Molecule: long non-coding RNA, 1123 nt
Filed under: Mus spicilegus (steppe mouse)
Lineage: Eukaryota; Metazoa; Chordata; Mammalia; Rodentia; Muridae
Description: lncRNA (ENSMSIG00000010634.1)
Source: RNAcentral